Prunus dulcis (almond) is the source of this 605-nucleotide long non-coding RNA. RefSeq lists it as uncharacterized. The record is from RefSeq and is a predicted model, not a curated record. The transcript is spliced from 2 exons. Lineage: Eukaryota; Viridiplantae; Streptophyta; Magnoliopsida; Rosales; Rosaceae.
GCCCCACCACCCCACUCCACCAGAGUCAUGGGGCUCUUGCCCUCUUAGCUCCCAACAAUCUCACUCUUGUUCUCAGGGUCUUUGUCCCUCCUCUCCCUCUAUAUCUUCACCACCCAUCUCACUUAUUUAAUUCCACGCCUCCCAAUCUGCUUCUUGUUCCUCUUCACCAAUAACACCAAGUUUGAUGGGAUCGAACAAGGAAGAGAAAGAUGCAAGUUACUCGGAACAUGAAAGAGUUGUGAAGACUAGGAAAGCUUGCUGUUGGUCAAUUUUGGUGAGUGUGGCAGGGGGGCUCAUGUUAGGAUGGUGGGAAUAUCAAUAUCAUCCCACAAAUAGGCAACUGUGGAUGGUGCCCUUUGGUCUCAUCCUUUUUGCUACCCCGGUCAUUGUUUGGUUCUCUGUUAUGGCCUCUGACAUCUGGAAUUUGAAGGAUGGUGAUCAUGUCACAAGGGUGAGUCAACUCAGUAACUCGGUUCCUGCCAAGAAAGAUGGGCAAUGGAGCAACCAUGUGAAUGAUGUAUAGAUUUUAAAAUAUAUUGCUUACGAUUGAUUCUAUGUAAGAAUUCCACCAAUCUCAGUCAAUUACAUACGUGGAGUUUUAUUUA